UACGUAGGGAGCAAGCGUUGUCCGGAAUCAUUGGGCGUAAAGGGCGCGUAGGCGGCCAGCACAAGUCAGUUGUAAAAUCUCCGAGCUUAACUCGGAACGGUCAACUGAUACUGUGCGGCUAGAGUGCAGAAGGGGCAACUGGAAUUCUUGGUGUAGCGGUGAAAUGCGUAGAUAUCAAGAGGAACACCUGCGGCGAAGGCGGGUUGCUGGGCUUGGUCUGACGCUGAGGCGCGAAAGCGUGGGGAGCGAACAGG
This 254-nucleotide ribosomal RNA is filed under the name uncultured bacterium. RNAcentral describes it as "partial 16S ribosomal RNA". It matches the Rfam family "Bacterial small subunit ribosomal RNA", at positions 524 to 776 of the family's 1533-position model. The record is from RNAcentral.